GGUGAAGUGUCCGAGUGGUCGAAGGAGCACGCCUGGAAAGUGUGUAUACAGGAAACUGUAUCAAGGGUUCAAAUCCCUUCUUCACCGCCA
Molecule: transfer RNA, 90 nt
Filed under: Pseudomonas sp. URIL14HWK12:I10
Lineage: Bacteria; Pseudomonadati; Pseudomonadota; Gammaproteobacteria; Pseudomonadales; Pseudomonadaceae
Also listed under: 4 other names
Description: tRNA-Ser
Rfam family: tRNA
About the family: Transfer RNA (tRNA) molecules are approximately 80 nucleotides in length. Their secondary structure includes four short double-helical elements and three loops (D, anti-codon, and T loops). Further hydrogen bonds mediate the characteristic L-shaped molecular structure. tRNAs have two regions of fundamental functional importance: the anti-codon, which is responsible for specific mRNA codon recognition, and the 3' end, to which the tRNAs corresponding amino acid is attached (by aminoacyl-tRNA synthetases). tRNAs cope with the degeneracy of the genetic code in two manners: having more than one tRNA (with a specific anti-codon) for a particular amino acid; and 'wobble' base-pairing, i.e. permitting non-standard base-pairing at the 3rd anti-codon position.
Source: RNAcentral